This 270-nucleotide long non-coding RNA is filed under the name Fukomys damarensis (Damara mole-rat). RNAcentral describes it as "lncRNA (ENSFDAG00000030124.1)". The record is from RNAcentral. Lineage: Eukaryota; Metazoa; Chordata; Mammalia; Rodentia; Bathyergidae.
GUAAGUUCUGUGUUCUGCAUUGUAACAUGGUUCGUGACAUGGGAUUCCAGGCUGAGGAACAAGGUGAGAGGAAGGAGGUGCUGUUAGGGAGGACGUGUGUUUGCUCUGGGCUGGAUCCUGAAGAGAUCAGUGAGCUGUCACACAUCACAUCCGCCAAGCUACAGCUCUGGAACGGCCUCUGCUGAAAGUAAAAGGGAGUGCUGGGCAAUUACAGAAGCGAGACGACGGCUGCCACCUUUACUGCCGCAUUUAGAAAGGUAAAACUGUAUC